GACUGUAGGCUGCAACUCGCCUACACGAAGUCGGAAUCGCUAGUAAUCGCGGAUCAGCAUGCCGCGGUGAAUACGUUCCCGGGCCUUGUACACACCGCCCGUCGCACCAUGGGAGUUUGUAACGCCCAAAGUCGGUGGCCUAACCUUUAUGGAGGGAGCCGCCUAAGGCGGGACAGAUGACUGGGGUGAAGUCGUAACAAGGUAAC
Molecule: ribosomal RNA, 206 nt
Filed under: uncultured bacterium
Lineage: Bacteria
Description: partial 16S ribosomal RNA
Rfam family: Bacterial small subunit ribosomal RNA
Source: RNAcentral